This 1078-nucleotide long non-coding RNA is filed under the name Olea europaea subsp. europaea. The record is from RNAcentral. Lineage: Eukaryota; Viridiplantae; Streptophyta; Magnoliopsida; Lamiales; Oleaceae.
UGAUCCAAUCANCUUCUUUGAUGGUGAGCAAGUUAGAUGAUAAUGACGAGUCUGUGUCUCGGAAGACUGAUAUUAAUUCUGAUGAAACUCUGAUUCAAUUAAAACUCUACAGUCAUGAUUACGAUCUAAAGGUUUCUGAUGAUACUAGUGUCCAUCCAUCGUAAAUCUUCAGCCUUAAUAUCGAAAGUGGUGAUCCUAUAUAGACUGAUAGUACAAGGAUUAAUAUCAGUCAAUGCAACUGGAUAUAGUUUGUAUUCCUAUGUCAAUUGUGAUUACAAUAAUGUUAUCUAGCGCUAAUAGUAGUAGAGCAUCCGUCUGAAUGAUCACACUUGAUAUGUUUAAUUAAAUGAAUUAUGUAACAUUGCAUUUAAGGGAAUUUAUUAUUUGAAGUCUGUUUGUGCUCAUUUUUGGUGUAAAAUGCAUUUUAAAAUAGUAAAUUGAUGGAAAAUAUGUGGCUAAAAAAGUAAGGAAAAUUUUGAAUUUGCGUGUAAUAUUAUUUUAUUGAAAAAUGUAUGACUGAAAAAAGGAGAAAAAAAUGUAUUUUGGAAAUAUUGGGAAUCAAACAAGGACUUAAUGUCAUGCAGUUGUUACUUAAACUGGCGCUUGACAUCAGUUGUGCUAAAUAGCACUACUCCCGUGAUUAUCUUGGUUCUCAGUGGACUUCCUAUGAAGCCUUCAACUAUGAGCUUGAAAAGUUGGUUGGACUAUACAUGGAAAUAAAUCAAAUAGCUUUGCUUGCGCAGGAAUUGUACUUCACAAAUUUGUUCCAAGAUUUGAUUUGGUACAAAGUGGAAUAUGUGGACCAUUUGAGAUUAUUGAUAGGCAAGGAGAAAGUGGUUUUGCAAGUUUGGAUUGCAUGGCUUGACAAGCAAAUACUACAUUUCAAAUUCAAGUUGUGAUACCAGGUGGAAUUCACCAGUUAUUGACAACACUAUGGAUUCUUACAUUCCAAGUUAUAUUGCUGAACAUCAUGUUGUUAAUGAAUUGGUGUAUUUUAAGGAAUUUGUGGGAAAUCCUAUGCUCAUGAAUUCGAAGUUUUUGCAUACCUAUUUUAUGUCGAAAAAUAAGUAAAACUAGA